CAGCGCCAUCUAGUGGUGGCGAACGUAUUGCGGCCCUCUACAAGUAGCCAAGAGUCACCUGAGGGUGAAGCUAUGUAUUCUGUAUUACAGAUGGGAGCAAACCAGUGACUGAGUGCGGGUCCUCGUUCUGACCUGCCACAAGGCCUCCUUUCUUGGUGAGACAAAACGCAGUGAGCUCUUGACUGCGCUCAUUCCAUGCUUCAAGAAAGCACCCGGCCUCUAUUCCAGGUGUCAAGAGGAAAAUGAGAAAAAAGCAUAAAAGAAGCAUAAACUAAUGUGUAUAUAAACACGUAGCCUGAAGACCACGAGGAAACAUGCUACAAAUGAAGAAGUAAUAACAAAUCCACAGUCAUAUGAGGCCACUGAACCAAGAACAACCAUUUGUACUGUGGAUUUCAGGACCACGGUUGCCAAAGCUGGAGUUCCAAGUGGCACCAGGACAACAGUGCUCCCCUUUGUGGUGUUUAUGAGACAAAAUUCAACGUGACCAGCUGCCUCAUGUUCCUGUUAUCCUGCCUAGCUCAGCGAACUCUGAGGCAAAAUUAGAAAACAAGUAUUUUGUUUUCUUUCAUUGCCUACAUUAUAUAAUGAGACAUCUUAAAUGUUGAGUAACUUAACUGCUACUUGUGGGCAGAUUUAUUUAUACAUCUCAAGUUUUCUGCAAAAUUAAAAUAUGUGUAUGAAAAAG
RNAcentral lists this small RNA (688 nucleotides) under Rattus norvegicus (Norway rat). RNAcentral describes it as "uncharacterized LOC102546844". The record is from RNAcentral. Lineage: Eukaryota; Metazoa; Chordata; Mammalia; Rodentia; Muridae.